This 575-nucleotide ribosomal RNA is filed under the name uncultured bacterium. Its description in RNAcentral is "bacterial SSU rRNA". It matches the Rfam family "Bacterial small subunit ribosomal RNA", at positions 102 to 673 of the family's 1533-position model. The record is from RNAcentral.
ACGGGUGAGUAAUACAUCGGAACGUGCCCUGUAGUGGGGGAUAACUAGUCGAAAGAUUAGCUAAUACCGCAUACGACCUGAGGGUGAAAGUGGGGGACCGCAAGGCCUCAUGCUAUAGGAGCGGCCGAUGUCUGAUUAGCUAGUUGGUGAGGUAAAGGCUCACCAAGGCGACGAUCAGUAGCUGGUCUGAGAGGACGAUCAGCCACACUGGGACUGAGACACGGCCCAGACUCCUACGGGAGGCAGCAGUGGGGAAUUUUGGACAAUGGGCGAAAGCCUGAUCCAGCAAUGCCGCGUGUGUGAAGAAGGCCUUCGGGUUGUAAAGCACUUUUGUCCGGAAAGAAAUGGCUCUGGUUAAUACCUGGGGUCGAUGACGGUACCGGAAGAAUAAGGACCGGCUAACUACGUGCCAGCAGCCGCGGUAAUACGUAGGGUCCAAGCGUUAAUCGGAAUUACUGGGCGUAAAGCGUGCGCAGGCGGUUGUGCAAGACCGAUGUGAAAUCCCCGAGCUUAACUUGGGAAUUGCAUUGGUGACCGCACGGCUAGAGUGUGUCAGAGGGGGGUAGAAUUCCACG